AUUGAACGCUGGCGGCAGGCCUAACACAUGCAAGUCGAGCGGAUGAAGGGAGCUUGCUCCUGGAUUCAGCGGCGGACGGGUGAGUAAUGCCUAGGAAUCUGCCUGGUAGGGGGGGAUAACGUCCGGAAACGGGCGCUAAUACCGCAUACGUCCUGAGGGAGAAAGUGGGGGAUCUUCGGACCUCACGCUAUCAGAUGAGCCUAGGUCGGAUUAGCUAGUUGGUGGGGUAAAGGCCUACCAAGGCGACGAUCCGUAACUGGUCUGAGAGGAUGAUCAGUCACACUGGAACUGAGACACGGUCCAGACUCCUACGGGAGGCAGCAGUGGGAAAUAUUGGACAAUGGGCGAAAGCCUGAUCCAGCCAUGCCGCGUGUGUGAAGAAGGUCUUCGGAUUGUAAAGCACUUUAAGUUGGGAGGAAGGGCAGUAAGUUAAUACCUUGCUGUUUUGACGUUACCAACAGAAUAAGCACCGGCUAACUUCGUG
Molecule: ribosomal RNA, 484 nt
Filed under: uncultured bacterium
Lineage: Bacteria
Description: partial 16S ribosomal RNA
Rfam family: Bacterial small subunit ribosomal RNA
Source: RNAcentral